This 301-nucleotide ribosomal RNA is filed under the name uncultured bacterium. RNAcentral describes it as "partial 16S ribosomal RNA". It matches the Rfam family "Bacterial small subunit ribosomal RNA", at positions 509 to 807 of the family's 1533-position model. The record is from RNAcentral.
CAGCCGCCGCGGGAAAACGGAGGGGGCUAGCGUUGUUCGGAAUUACUGGGCGUAAAGCGCACGUAGGCGGCUUGGUAAGUUAGAGGUGAAAGCCCGGAGCUCAACUCCGGAAUUGCCUUUAAGACUGCCGAGCUAGCAGGUGAGAGAGGUAAGUGGAAUUCCGAGUGUAGAGGUGAAAUUCGUAGAUAUUCGGAAGAACACCAGUGGCGAAGGCGGCUUACUGGCCCAUACUGGACGCUGAGGUGCGAAAGCGUGGGGAGCAAACAGGAUUAGAUACCCGAGUAGUCCCUGUCUCUUAUAC